CCUACGGGAGGCUGCAGUGGGGAAGAUUGGGCAAUGGGCGCAAGCCUGACCCAGCAACGCCGCGUGAAGGAAGAAGGCUUUCGGGUUGUAAACUUCUUGUAAGAGGGAAGAGCAGAAGACGGGACCUCUGGAAUAAGCCACGGCUAACUACGGGCCAGCAGCCGCGGUAAUACGUAGGUGGCAAGCGUUGUCCGGAUUUACUGGGUGUAAAGGGCGUGUAGCCGGGCUGACAAGGCAGAUGUGAAAUCCCGUGGCUCAACCCCGGAACUGCAUUUGAAACUGUCGGUCUUGAGUAUCGGAGAGUCCGGCGGACUUCCUCUUGUAGCGGUGAACUUCGUAGAUAUUAGGAGGACCCCCAGUGGCG
This 364-nucleotide ribosomal RNA is filed under the name uncultured bacterium. RNAcentral's name for it is "partial 16S ribosomal RNA". It matches the Rfam family "Bacterial small subunit ribosomal RNA", at positions 338 to 717 of the family's 1533-position model. The record is from RNAcentral.